RNAcentral lists this transfer RNA (64 nucleotides) under Helicobacter fennelliae. It matches the Rfam family "tRNA", at positions 6 to 65 of the family's 71-position model. Rfam says of the family: Transfer RNA (tRNA) molecules are approximately 80 nucleotides in length. Their secondary structure includes four short double-helical elements and three loops (D, anti-codon, and T loops). Lineage: Bacteria; Pseudomonadati; Campylobacterota; Epsilonproteobacteria; Campylobacterales; Helicobacteraceae. The record is from RNAcentral.
UCGUAGCUCAAUUGGAUAGAGCAUCAGACUUCGGAUCUGAGGGUUAGGGGUUCGACUCCCUUCG